GCAGUCGAGCGGAUGACGGGAGCUUGCUCCUUGAUUCAGCGGCGGACGGGUGAGUAAUGCCUAGGAAUCUGCCUGGUAGUGGGGGACAACGUUUCGAAAGGAACGCUAAUACCGCAUACGUCCUACGGGAGAAAGCAGGGGACCUUCGGGCCUUGCGCUAUCAGAUGAGCCUAGGUCGGAUUAGCUAGUUGGUGGGGUAAUGGCUCACCAAGGCGACGAUCCGUAACUGGUCUGAGAGGAUGAUCAGUCACACUGGAACUGAGACACGGUCCAGACUCCUACGGGAGGCAGCAGUGGGGAAUAUUGGACAAUGGGCGAAAGCCUGAUCCAGCCAUGCCGCGUGUGUGAAGAAGGUCUUCGGAUUGUAAAGCACUUUAAGUUGGGAGGAAGGGCAUUAACCUAAUACGUUAGUGUUUUGACGUUACCGACAGAAUAAGCACCGGCUAACUCUGUGCCAGCAGCCGCGGUAAUACAGAGGGUGCAAGCGUUAAUCGGAAUUACUGGGCGUAAAGCGCGCGUAGGUGGUUUGUUAAGUUGGAUGUGAAAGCCCCGGGCUCAACCUGGGAACUGCAUCCAAAACUGGCAAGCUAGAGUACGGUAGAGGGUGGUGGAAUUUCCUGUGUAGCGGUGAAAUGCGUAGAUAUAGGAA
This 649-nucleotide ribosomal RNA is filed under the name Pseudomonas sp. Its description in RNAcentral is "bacterial SSU rRNA". It matches the Rfam family "Bacterial small subunit ribosomal RNA", at positions 57 to 702 of the family's 1533-position model. Lineage: Bacteria; Pseudomonadati; Pseudomonadota; Gammaproteobacteria; Pseudomonadales; Pseudomonadaceae. The record is from RNAcentral.